GUGAACGCUGGCGGUAGGCCUAACACAUGCCAGUCGCACGGCAGCACAGUAAGAGCUUGCUCUUACGGGUGGCGAGUGGCGGACGGGUGAGGAAUACAUCGGAAUCUACUUUUUCGUGGGGGAUAACGUAGGGAAACUUACGCUAAUACCGCAUACGACCUACGGGUGAAAGCAGGGGAUCUUCGGACCUUGCGCGAUUGAAUGGGCCGAUGUCGGAUUAGCUAGUUGGCGGGGUAAAGGCCCACCAAGGCGACGAUCCGUAGCUGGUCUGAGAGGAUGAUCAGCCACACUGGAACUGAGACACGGUCCAGACUCCUACGGGAGGCAGCAGUGGGGAAUAUUGGACAAUGGGCGCAAGCCUGAUCCAGCCAUACCGCGUGGGUGAAGAAGGCCUUCGGGUUGUAAAGCCCUUUUGUUGGGAAAGAAAAGCAGCAGGUUAAUACCCCGCUGUUCUGACGGUACCCAAAGAAUAAGCACCGGCUAACUUCGUG
RNAcentral lists this ribosomal RNA (491 nucleotides) under uncultured bacterium. RNAcentral describes it as "partial 16S ribosomal RNA". It matches the Rfam family "Bacterial small subunit ribosomal RNA", at positions 29 to 507 of the family's 1533-position model. The record is from RNAcentral.